AGAGUUUGAUCCUGGCUCAGAACGAACGCUUGCGGCAGGCUUAACACAUGCAAGUCGAGCGCGUAGCAAUACGAGCGGCAGACGGGUGAGUAACGCGUGGGAAUCUACCUAUCUCUACGGAAUAACCCAGGGAAACUUGGACUAAUACCGUAUACGUCCUUCGGGAGAAAGAUUUAUCGGAGAUGGAUGAGCCCGCGUUGGAUUAGCUAGUUGGUGGGGUAAUGGCCUACCAAGGCGACGAUCCAUAGCUGGUCUGAGAGGAUGAUCAGCCACACUGGGACUGAGACACGGCCCAGACUCCUACGGGAGGCAGCAGUGGGGAAUAUUGGACAAUGGGGGCAACCCUGAUCCAGCCAUGCCGCGUGAGUGAUGAAGGCCCUAGGGUUGUAAAGCUCUUUCACCGGUGAAGAUAAUGACGGUAACCGGAGAAGAAGCCCCGGCUAACUUCGUG
Molecule: ribosomal RNA, 451 nt
Filed under: uncultured Phyllobacteriaceae bacterium
Lineage: Bacteria; Pseudomonadati; Pseudomonadota; Alphaproteobacteria; Hyphomicrobiales; Phyllobacteriaceae
Description: bacterial SSU rRNA
Rfam family: Bacterial small subunit ribosomal RNA
Source: RNAcentral